RNAcentral lists this ribosomal RNA (253 nucleotides) under uncultured bacterium. Its description in RNAcentral is "partial 16S ribosomal RNA". It matches the Rfam family "Bacterial small subunit ribosomal RNA", at positions 524 to 776 of the family's 1533-position model. The record is from RNAcentral.
UACGAAGGGGGCUAGCGUUGCUCGGAAUCACUGGGCGUAAAGGGUGCGUAGGCGGGUCUCUCAGUCAGGGGUGAAAUCCUGGAGCUCAACUCCAGAACUGCCUUUGAUACUGGAGAGCUUGAGUCCGGAAGAGGUGAGUGGAACUCCGAGUGUAGAGGUGAAAUUCGUAGAUAUUCGGAAGAACACCAGUGGCGAAGGCGGCUCACUGGUCCGGUACUGACGCUGAUGUGCGAAAGCGUGGGGAGCAAACAGG